UUCGAUUCUGGCUCAAGGACGAACGGCUGGCGGCGUAGCCUAACACAUGCAAGGUCGAGCGAGGAGAUCCUCGGGAUGAUCCUAGCGGCGGACGGGUGAGUAACACGUGGGCAACCUGCCUCAUAGAGAGGAAUAGACCUUCCGAAAGGGAGACUUAAUACCUCAUAACAUUGCAGUUUCGCAUGGAACAGCAAUUAAAGGAGUAAUCCGCUAUGAGAUGGGCCCGCGGCGCAUUAGCUAGUUGGUGAGGUAACGGCUCACCGAAGGCGACGAUGCCGUAGCCGACCUGAGAGGGUGAUCGGCCACAUUGGGGACUGAGACACGGCCCAGACUCCUACGGGAGGCAGGCAGUGGGGAAUAUUGCACAAUGGGGGAAACCCUGAUGCAAGCAACGCCGCGUGAGUGAUGACGGCCUUCGGGUUGUAAAGCUCUGUCUUCAGGGACGAUAAUGACGGUACCUGAGGAGGAAGCCACGGCUAACUACGUGCCAGCAGCCGC
Molecule: ribosomal RNA, 498 nt
Filed under: uncultured bacterium
Lineage: Bacteria
Description: bacterial SSU rRNA
Rfam family: Bacterial small subunit ribosomal RNA
Source: RNAcentral